Molecule: long non-coding RNA, 1500 nt
Filed under: Monodelphis domestica (gray short-tailed opossum)
Lineage: Eukaryota; Metazoa; Chordata; Mammalia; Didelphimorphia; Didelphidae
Description: lncRNA (ENSMODG00000033817.2)
Source: RNAcentral
GUCUCUCCAGUCUGGCUUCUGAUUUCAUUAUUCAGCCAAAACAGAUAUCUCCAAAGUUAUUAAAGGUCUUUUAAUUGUUAAAUCAAAUAGCCUUUCCUCAUCUUCAUUGAUGACCUCUCUAAUCCUUUGAUGCUUUGGUCUUUCUCUUCCUUAUGCCUCCUUUUCUCUAAAUUUUCAGGACACCACUUUCUCCUGGUUCUCUUCCUACCCAUCUCACUACUCCUCAGUCCUCUUUGCUGGAUCUUCAUAUAGGUUCUAUCUUCUAAAGGCUUGAUCUCCUUAUCUCACCUAUACUGCAAGUGCAAGAGCUAUUAAUUGGCCCAAUCCCAUUAUUUACCUCUUCCAUUUCUUAUCUGUGCUGGUUUGCCCUUCCUUAAACAAGCUAAUCACUUCCUGUUCCUAAGGGAUCCACACCACCACAUAAUGGUUGAACUUAAUAAAGAUACUUUCAUUGGCCACACUGCAGCUCAAAGCACAAGAGAUCCACCAGCCUCUGCCUCCUCGGCAGAAAUUACUGUUUUAAAAACAGAGUAUAAAUAUAUUUUUUUCUUGUACCUACACAGCUUGACCAUGACUUCAUUUGUAGCCAUGACUACUUCAGUUGUGUCUGACAUGAAAAGUUUAAGGAAUGAAAGAAUUUCUAAUGAUCACAUCAUGUUCUCUAAGGCAGUGUUUAACAUCAGAUGUAGAGAUCAUCAAGAGAGAGGCUAAUCCAUCUGGGAAAUCAAUCAAGCAUAAAGUCAGAGGUUUUUGAGUUUGACCUCAAUGAAGAAGCAUUUCUAUGAAUGACAAAAUGAUAAAUCUAAAAGAAAGCCUCCAAAUCCCAACUCACACACUGUUGCCUACAUGUCACAUUGAAAGAAAAUAACAAAAACAAAAAUAGGUAUUGUGCUUUGAUUCUUAAAACAUAGUCCUUAUACACACACACACAAAUAUGAGUAUACCCGUAUGACUAUAUAUAUCUUCCUUGCUUCCUUCCUUUUUUCCUUCCUGGCUUCCUUGCUUCCUUGCUUCCUUGCUUCCUUGCUUCCUUCCUUGCUUCCUUGCUUCCUUGCUUCCUUGCUUCCUUGCUUCCUUGCUUCCUUGCUUCCUUCCUUCUUCCUUCCUUCCUUCUUCCUUCCUUCCUUCUUCCUUCCUUCCUUCCUUCCUUCCUUCCUUCCUUCCUUCCUUCCUUCCUUCCUUCCUUCCUUCCUUCCUUCCUUCCUUCCUUCUUCCUUCCUUCCUUCCUUCCUUCCUUCCUUCUUCCUUCCUUCCUUCCUUCCUUCCUUCCUUCCUUCCUUCCUUCCUUCCUUCCUUCCUUCCUUCCUUCCUUCCUUCCUUCCUUCCCAUCUAUCAUCAAUCUACACUCAGAGUCAAGAGAUGGAACAUCUUAUCCAAAGAACAGCAAGGAAGCCAAUAUCACUGGAUCACAGAAUACAUGAGGUUGUGUCUGAAGAACAACAAAGUAAGGAUGAAAAAAUUGUUUCAUUUUAUGCUAACCCUUCAAAUGCUUCAAAAUAG